CACGCCCUAAACGAUGAUUACUCGACAUCAGCGAUACACUGUUGGUGUCUGAGCGAAAGCAUUAAGUAAUCCACCUGGGAAGUACNUACGCGAGGAACCUUACCUGGGCUAGAAUGCAAUUUGACAGUGGGUGAAAGCUCAUCUUGUAGCAAUACACAGAUUGUAAGGUGC
Molecule: ribosomal RNA, 171 nt
Filed under: uncultured bacterium
Lineage: Bacteria
Description: partial 16S ribosomal RNA
Source: RNAcentral